AUAACAAUACAGGACUCUUUAGAGGCCCUGUAAUUGUAAUGAGUCCAUUUGAAAUCCUUUAACUAUGAUCAAUUGGAGGGCAAGUCUGGUGCAGAGUGACUGACCCGUGCGUGCUGCAGCUGAAA
Pelobates cultripes (western spadefoot toad) is the source of this 125-nucleotide non-coding RNA. NCBI's taxonomy places the organism in Eukaryota, Metazoa, Chordata, Amphibia, Anura, Pelobatidae. The record is from the annotation of a GenBank genome assembly.